Molecule: long non-coding RNA, 583 nt
Organism: Oreochromis aureus
Lineage: Eukaryota; Metazoa; Chordata; Actinopteri; Cichliformes; Cichlidae
Exons: 4
Source: RefSeq, a predicted model, not a curated record
GAAAGACAGAGAAAGAGAGCCAGGGACAACAACGUCACAUUAGAAAGGGAGCAAAGAGCAGAUGACCGAGUUUAUUAAACUCAGGAGCGACAAUGAGCACGUUUACUGGUGCGAAAAACUCAGCCACUGUGGGUUGGAGGGCCAUUCUUGAGAAGAUGGGCCUGCAGGGUAAAGUCACCCCUUUGCAGGCAAAAAAAGAAAAAAAAGAAAUACAAAGACUUCAAGUAUCCAGGGUCAGGCGAGGGAGUGAGCGGGAAGCCCACUGCUGCUACAUGGCCCUGGUUUGCCCUCAUGGAUGAGGUGUUAGGACAGAGGCCUUCUACCAAGCCUCCAGUGCUAAUUGCUUCCAUCCAUGAGGACACUCCAGGGCCCAGUUCAGCAGUGGGCAACCAUGUGCUGGAUGAGGAAGAGCAGGAAGAUGAGGGCCAGGUGGAGCAAAGAGGGGCAAAAAGAAAGAAGGACAGGGAUGAGUUUUUGGAUUUAAUGAGAGAGGACAUGAGAAUGCAGAGGGAAAUGGAGGAAAGAAAAGCACAGGAGGCGGAAGUUAGAAUGAACAGACUGUUUGGUUUGCUUGAGAAACUUG